RNAcentral lists this long non-coding RNA (539 nucleotides) under Olea europaea (common olive). Its description in RNAcentral is "long non-coding RNA (OEUR_LNC001146)". The record is from RNAcentral. Lineage: Eukaryota; Viridiplantae; Streptophyta; Magnoliopsida; Lamiales; Oleaceae.
CUAUUCGGUUAUGGUUGCUAUCUGAAAUGAACAGCCGGUUGUUGAGGAUGUCGACCUCCAGCUUACCAGGAAAUUUCAAAGGGGAUGUCAGCAAGCGAAGAUCAUUCUCUUUUUCCAACCGCAAGGGAAUAGGUCUGCUAUCCAAUAAGGGGGGGGGGGGGGGGUGAAUAGGGAGAGGGGACCUACUAUUCGGUUAUGGUUGCUAUCUGAAAUGAACAGCCGGUUGUUGAGGAUGUCGACCUCCAGCUUACCAGGAAAUUUCAAAGGGGAUGUCAGCAAGCGAAGAUCAUUCUCUUUUUCCAACCGCAAGGGAAUAGGUCUGCUAUCCAAUAAUUUCUUUCUACCAUAGAAGAGAAGAGCUGCUUCGAUCAAAUUGUCAAGAUCCUUGGAAAAAAUCACACAAAUUAUUCGAAACAAUUUUUCAGUUCUUGACCACAUGAUAAGAAUUUUAGUAAUUUCAAGCUCUGUAAGUAAGAUGCAAUAGGCCAUUGACAAUGGGAAGAAAGAAGGAAAUUUUUCUUCCAAAAAGCACAAAAAUG